Molecule: ribosomal RNA, 1477 nt
Filed under: metagenome
Description: bacterial SSU rRNA
Rfam family: Bacterial small subunit ribosomal RNA
Source: RNAcentral
GGCUCAGAUUGAACGCUGGCGGUAUGCUUAACACAUGCAGGUCGAACGGUAACAGGCCUUCGGGCACUGACGAGUGGCGGACGGGUGAGUAACGCGUAGGAAUCUGCCUCAUAGUGGGGGACAACGUGGGGAAACCCACGCUAAUACCGCAUACGCCCUACGGGGGAAAGCGGGGGAUCUUCGGACCUCGCGCUAUGAGAUGAGCCUGCGUUAGAUUAGCUAGUUAGUAGGGUAAAGGCCUACCAAGGCGACGAUCUAUAGCUGGUCUGAGAGGACGAUCAGCCACACUGGGACUGAGACACGGCCCAGACUCCUACGGAGGCAGCAGUGGGGAAUAUUGGACAAUGGCGAAAGCCUGAUCCAGCAAUACCGCGUGUGUGAAGAAGGCCUUAGGGUUGUAAAGCACUUUCAAUUGGGAGGAAAACCUGCCGGUCAAUACCCGGUGGCUUGACAUUACCUUUAGAAGAAGCACCGGCUAACUCCGUGCCAGCAGCCGCGGUAAUACGGAGGGUGCGAGCGUUAAUCGGAAUUACUGGGCGUAAAGCGUGCGUAGGCGGUUCGUUAAGUCAGAUGUGAAAGCCCUGGGCUCAACCUGGGAACUGCAUUUGAAACUGCGGACUAGAGUUUAGUAGAGGGGAGUGGAAUUUCAGGUGUAGCGGUGAAAUGCGUAGAUAUCUGAAGGAACACCAGUGGCGAAGGCGACUCCCUGGACUAGAACUGACGCUGAGGUACGAAAGCGUGGGUAGCAAACAGGAUUAGAUACCCUGGUAGUCCACGCCGUAAACGAUGUCGACUAGCCGUUGGCCCUUUUUACAGGGUUAGUGGCGCAGCUAACGCAUUAAGUCGACCGCCUGGGGAGUACGGCCGCAAGGUUAAAACUCAAAUGAAUUGACGGGGGCCCGCACAAGCGGUGGAGCAUGUGGUUUAAUUCGAUGCAACGCGAAGAACCUUACCUACCCUUAACAUCCAGAGAAUCUGUUAGAGAUAGUAGAGUGCCUUCGGGAGCUCUGAGACAGGUGCUGCAUGGCUGUCGUCAGCUCGUGUCGUGAGAUGUUGGGUUAAGUCCCGUAACGAGCGCAACCCUUGUCCUUAGUUGCCAGCGAGUAAUGUCGGGAACUCUAGGGAGACUGCCGGUGAUAAACCGGAGGAAGGUGGGGACGACGUCAAGUCAUCAUGGCCCUUAUGGGUAGGGCUACACACGUGCUACAAUGGCCGGUACAGAGGGCUGCGAACUUGCGAGAGUAAGCAAAUCCCAGAAAGCCGGUCCUAGUCCGGAUUGGAGUCUGCAACUCGACUCCAUGAAGUCGGAAUCGCUAGUAAUCGCGAAUCAGAAUGUCGCGGUGAAUACGUUCCCGGGCCUUGUACACACCGCCCGUCACACCAUGGGAGUGGGUUGCAAAAGAAGUGGGUAGUCUAACCUUCGGGAGGGCGCUCACCACUUUGUGAUUCAUGACUGGGGUGAAGUCAUAACAAGGUA